This 274-nucleotide ribosomal RNA is filed under the name uncultured bacterium. RNAcentral's name for it is "partial 16S ribosomal RNA". It matches the Rfam family "Bacterial small subunit ribosomal RNA", at positions 523 to 796 of the family's 1533-position model. The record is from RNAcentral.
AUACGGAGGUGGCGAGCGUUAUUCGGAUUUACUGGGCGUAAAGGGUCCGUAGGGGGAUAUAUAAGUUUGAUGUGAAAUUUCGAGGCUCAACCUCGAACCUGCAUUGAAAACUGUGUAUCUAGAAUUCGGUAGAGGUAAGUGGAAUUUGUGGUGUAGCGGUGGAAUGCGUAGACAUCACAAGGAACAUCAAAGGCGAAAGCAGCUUACUGGGCCGAUAUUGACCCUGAGGGACGAAAGCUAAGGUAGCGAAAAGGAUUAGAAACCCUUGUAGUCC